RNAcentral lists this ribosomal RNA (498 nucleotides) under uncultured bacterium. RNAcentral's name for it is "partial 16S ribosomal RNA". It matches the Rfam family "Bacterial small subunit ribosomal RNA", at positions 30 to 523 of the family's 1533-position model. The record is from RNAcentral.
AUUGAACGCUGGCGGCAUGCCUUACACAUGCAAGUCGAACGGUAACAGGUCUUCGGAUGCUGACGAGUGGCGAACGGGUGAGUAAUACAUCGGAACGUGCCUAGUAGUGGGGGAUAACUACUCGAAAGAGUGGCUAAUACCGCAUGAGAUCUACGGAUGAAAGCAGGGGAUCGCAAGACCUUGUGCUACUAGAGCGGCCGAUGGCAGAUUAGGUAGUUGGCGGGAUAAAAGCUUACCAAGCCGACGAUCUGUAGCUGGUCUGAGAGGACGAUGAGCCACACUGGGACUGAGACACGGCCCAGACUCCUACGGGAGGCAGCAGUGGGGAAUUUUGGACAAUGGGCGAAAGCCUGAUCCAGCAAUGCCGCGUGCAGGAUGAAGGCCUUCGGGUUGUAAACUGCUUUUGUACGGAACGAAAAGCCCCGGGUUAAUACCCUGGGGUCAUGACGGUACCGUAAGAAUAAGCACCGGCUAACUACGUGCCAACCGCCGCCGUAA